AAAUGAAUAGACGGGGGCCCGCACAAGCAGCGGAGCGUGUGGUUUAAUUCGAGGCUACACGAAGAACCUUACCUGGACUUGACAUAACGGUAGUAGAACCUGGAAACAGGGACGACCUUCGGGAGCCGUUACUGGUGCUGCAUGGCUGUCGUCAGCUCGUGCCGUGAGGUGUUAGGUUAAGUCCUGUAACGAGCGCAACCCCCGGUGCCAGUUAAAUCGUCUGGCGCGACUGCCCGUGACAAACGGGAGGAAGGCGGGGAUGACGUCAAGUCAGCAUGGCCUGUAUGUCCAGGGCUACACACACGCUACAAUGGUCGAUACAACAGGUUGCCAACCCGUAAGGGGGAGCCAAUCCCAUCAAAGUCGGCCUCAGUUCAGAUUGUGGGCUGCAACCCGCCCACAUGAAGUCGGAGUUGCUAGUAACCGCGCGUCAGCCAUAGUGCGGUGAAUACGUUCCCGGGCCUUGUACACACCGCCCGU
This 480-nucleotide ribosomal RNA is filed under the name uncultured bacterium. RNAcentral's name for it is "bacterial SSU rRNA". It matches the Rfam family "Bacterial small subunit ribosomal RNA", at positions 903 to 1397 of the family's 1533-position model. The record is from RNAcentral.